CGGAAAGACAGUGGAAAACUAUGAAGAACCAAAGCUGCACAGAUCGAAACAAUGAAGUAAAUGACCGGUUUCAUCCUCCAUACUCCGUAGCUGAUUACCCAAAGUUAUGCAAAAACCGACGCAGAGAAACAUCCGAGACAAGUUUUCCAAAGCCAUGAAAAGAAUGAUGAAAGGAGAGAGUAAAGAUAUAAGGUACAAAGUAAAUACAUGUGUUUCAAAUUAAUAUAACACCAUACUGCUGCUCCUGUUGUUGUUCUUUUAAUAAGCGAAUUUAAAGGGUAUACGAAAUGCCAAACGAAUAUACAAUAAUAAACCUUUGUUUUAUCAAAAGUAAAUCAUGACACCGCAUACAACAUAAAAAGGUGUAACAAUUUAUCUAGUGUAAUUUAAAAUAAAUGAACUAAUAAAAUAAAGUAACAAACUGACUCCAUUUUUUUUUCUCCACAUCAUGCUCAAGUUUUCAGACUGCCAUUCACACUUCCCAAAAAGGACUGAUUAUGGAAUGGAUCUUUUGUAUUGCAAACAUGAUACUUGACUCUGAACUGCUGCUAAUCAUUAUUCUUUUGUCUAUAAUAUUCGGACAAUUGGGGCCCGUCUCACUCAGAUGACCUACACUUCUUCAUUUCAUUGUUGUUUUGUUUAGGGGAUAGGUGCAAGCUUCGUGAAAUGUUUACAUUAAUCUACACCCCACCUCCAGCAGUGCGGGGGCAUUAACAGUAUACAGUAGCUCAGCCCUUUCGAACUAGCCUGGUAAUACCAAACUCUGCUACUUAUGUAGUCAGGCUACUUUCAAACUUCUUUUUGCCCUGAAGUAUUCACCUUAUUCCACCACGCCCACAUUCAAUACUUUGCAUUUCCUCAUUUUGCCAUCCAACUUCUGCUAAACUGAUAUGGCACAUCCGGUAACUAGUUCAGUAGUUGUAAGAUUGUUUAUAGCUAACUAUUUAACUUUUCAUUGAUUCAAAUUUAGCGCCCUCAUCCAUUGCCUCAGAUGCUUCUCUUCUUUAGGUUGUGGGUGUAAAUUGUCAAGUGCACCACAACACAAGACACUGAUUGCUUCACAUUGUGUUUGUUACAUAUUUGGUGCAAUUGUUUUUUAUUACAAUUGUUAUGUAGCCCCUAACUGAGCAUAUAAUACUUGAUAUAUUUGCGUUCUGUUAUCUAGCCACUAGCUUAGGUACGUCAGGUCCCUCAGCCAGUAGGAAGAUGACAAAACGAACGCAAUGGCAGCACCAUUGUUGCAAUGGAAAAUAAAGUGAACCACCAAGCAUGAUAGCAUGUUCUAGUACACCCCAAAAACAAAAUCAAGACUUUGUAAAAGAGCAUUAUAUUGAAGUAAAUUGAAAUUAAAAUGUCACAUAAUUUGAAAAUAGUGGCUCAAUAAACAUGAAACGCUCAAACAACACAAAUUAAUUCACCACAGAAAAAUGAUAGAUAAAUAGUUUUUAAUGUGUUUUUAUAUGUGCCAGGAAGCAAGAGUUCUUAGAAAACUGUUGGAAAAUGGUCCACAUUAACAAAGAUACCAAGUGAGUAAGUGGAUUUAGCUGUUAUUGACAAAAGUCAUUAAAUUACAUUUGCAAAUUUUUUUUCUACAGCAAUCUGACAUUUUCUGUGACACUUAUUAAUUCUUUAAUGUUUGAAAUUCUUAACUCUGGUGUCUGUUUAUUGUCAUAACAUUUGCAAAAUGUAUUGCAACAUUUUUAAUGGAAAUAUAUUGGCAUCAGCGUUUAAAACAAGACAUUUUACAAUAUAAUUAAAAUAAAAUUGCACGGGUAAAAGAAUCAUUAGAACAGAAUUAUUU
Long non-coding RNA from Carassius auratus (goldfish), 1801 nucleotides. RefSeq lists it as uncharacterized. The transcript has 2 exons. The record is from RefSeq and is a predicted model, not a curated record. NCBI's taxonomy places the organism in Eukaryota, Metazoa, Chordata, Actinopteri, Cypriniformes, Cyprinidae.